GUGGGGAAUUUUGGACAAUGGGCGAAAGCCUGAUCCAGCCAUGCCGCGUGCAGGAUGAAGGCCUUCGGGUUGUAAACUGCUUUUGUACGGAACGAAAAGACUCCUUCUAAUAAAGGGGGUCCAUGACGGUACCGUAAGAAUAAGCACCGGCUAACUACGUGCCAGCAGCCGCGGUAAUACGUAGGGUGCAAGCGUUAAUCGGAAUUACUGGGCGUAAAGCGUGCGCAGGCGGUUAUAUACGACAGAUGUGAAAUCCCCGGGCUCAACCUGGGAACUGCAUUUGUGACUGUAUAGCUAGAGUACGGUAGAGGGGGAUGGAAUUCCGCGUGUAGCAGUGAAAUGCGUAGAUAUGCGGAGGAACACCGAUGGCGAAGGCAAUCCCCUGGACCUGUACUGACGCUCAUGCACGAAAGCGUGGGGAGCAAACAGGAUUAGAUACCCCGGUAGUCC
Molecule: ribosomal RNA, 450 nt
Filed under: uncultured bacterium
Lineage: Bacteria
Description: bacterial SSU rRNA
Rfam family: Bacterial small subunit ribosomal RNA
Source: RNAcentral